Molecule: long non-coding RNA, 486 nt
Filed under: Salmo salar (Atlantic salmon)
Lineage: Eukaryota; Metazoa; Chordata; Actinopteri; Salmoniformes; Salmonidae
Description: lncRNA (ENSSSAG00000096777.1)
Source: RNAcentral
CUCAAGGGCAGUAGCAUUGUCAGCCGGUUAGCAUCCAUCCCCUUUCACCUUGGGGAAACUUCUGGGAAAACGAGUGUGGAACUUCUAUCAUUGUUCUAUUGUGUGCCAGGGAAGAAGAGAAAACUACAAGGUGCACUGGAGGACUGAAGAACUGAAGAGGUUGUAAAGGUUGACAUUUAUUGUCAUGAGUCUUGUCCUGGAAGCAGAACUGAGUGAUUUCCCCUUAGUCCCAGGUGAUGCAGCUAUACCAGGCAGUGCUCCAGAUGGGGCAGGACCUGAGCCCUAGGACCAUGCCUCAGGACUACCUGGCAUGAUGACUCCUUGUUGUCCCCAGUCCACCUGGCCGUGCUGCUGCUCCAGUUUCAACUGUUCUGCCUACGGCUAUGGAACCCUGACCUGUUCACUGUGAUUACUAUUAUUUGACCAUGCUGGUCAUUUGUGAACAUUUAAACAUCUUGGCCAUGUUCUGUUAUAAUCUCCACCCGG